GGAAUGUGGCUCGAGUGGUAGCGCCCUCGCCUGGCAUGCGUGAGGCACUGGGUUCAAUCCUCAGCACCA
Molecule: transfer RNA, 69 nt
Filed under: Marmota monax (woodchuck)
Lineage: Eukaryota; Metazoa; Chordata; Mammalia; Rodentia; Sciuridae
Description: tRNA.Ala
Source: RNAcentral